CCUACGGGCGGCAGCAGUGGGGAAUAUUGGGCAAUGGGCGCAAGCCUGACCCAGCAACGCCGCGUGAAGGAAGAAGGCUUUCGGGUUGUAAACUUCUUUUUUCAGGGACGAAGCACGUGACGGUACCUGACGCAUGCGCCACGGCUAACUCCGUGCCCGCAGCCGCGGUAAGACGUAGGUGGCAGUCGUUAUCCGGAUUUAUUGGGUGUAAAGGGCGUGUAGGCGGGAAUGCAAGUCAGAUGUGAAAACUAUGGGCUCAACCCAUAGCCUGCAGUUGAAACUGUCGUUCUUGAGUGCUGGGGAGGCAAUCGGAAUUCGGUGUGUAGCGGUGAAAUGCGUAGAUAUACGGAGGAACACCAGUGGCGAAGGCGGAUUGCUGGACAGUAACUGACGCUGAGGCGCGAAAGCGCGGGGAGCAAACAGGAUUAGAUACCCUAGUAGUC
Molecule: ribosomal RNA, 443 nt
Filed under: uncultured bacterium
Lineage: Bacteria
Description: partial 16S ribosomal RNA
Rfam family: Bacterial small subunit ribosomal RNA
Source: RNAcentral